Molecule: long non-coding RNA, 763 nt
Filed under: Mytilus galloprovincialis (Mediterranean mussel)
Lineage: Eukaryota; Metazoa; Mollusca; Bivalvia; Mytilida; Mytilidae
Source: RNAcentral
AUAUACUAGAACACACCCGUGAUAUCGCGGGUCCGUGACUAAAUUUAAGUAUAUAACUAUGCGCAAGCCUUAUUUUAGUAUUAUUUUUUAUCUGAUAAAGUCAUGCCGAUAAUAAGAUACACAGUUUUCUCUGCUUUCAAAUCUUUCUGUUUGAACCCGUCGAACUGGAACUUAUCAAUUAUUGGUAAUAUUAAUUAUUUGGUACAAAAGGUCCUGGAAUGGAGUAAUUUUUAAUCAACAGCAUUGUCCUAUGUUAAUUAUAAAUAAAGUUGAAUUAUUUGAUUCACUGUUUUAUGCCAUGCCCGCUAACAAAUUGAAAACGGUUCCUAUAUACACCUUAUUUUUAGUCCAGAUUUUUAGUAUUCAUAUUGUUAUCUUAGAAAGUCUUACUGAUUAAAAUACUACAAUAGGUAACAAUUUGACAAUGAUUAAAUUUAGUAGUGUCAACCCUGUGAUUAUGAUCCGUGUAUAUAGCAUAAUCCUAAAUACACCGUUUGGUGGUGCACCUGUUAGAUGCGGAACGUACAGAUAAGGUAAUAGGUAACAGGUGAAUAUACUAUUGGUAUCGGUAUCGGACUCGACCCGGAACUUCUUAAUUAUUGGCAAUAUUAAUUACGUGGAAAAUAAAAGGGCCUCGAGUGGUGUAAUUUUCAAUCUACACCUUUGUACUAUAUUAGUUAUAUAUAAAGCUGAAUUCUUUGAUUCGUCGUUUUUACGUGAUGACGGCUGACAAAUUGGACCUCGUAAUUUUAGUAUUAUAGAU